UACGUAGGUGGCAAGCGUUGUCCGGAUUUACUGGGUGUAAAGGGCGUGUAGCCGGGCUGACAAGCCAGAUGUGAAAUCCGGGGGCUCAACCCCCGAACUGCAUUUGAAACUGUUGGUCUUGAGUAUCGGAGAGGCAGGCGGAAUUCCUAGUGUAGCGGUGAAAUGCGUAGAUAUUAGGAGGAACACCAGUGGCGAAGGCGGCCUGCUGGACGACAACUGACGGUGAGGCGCGAAAGCGUGGGGAGCAAACAGG
This 253-nucleotide ribosomal RNA is filed under the name uncultured bacterium. Its description in RNAcentral is "partial 16S ribosomal RNA". It matches the Rfam family "Bacterial small subunit ribosomal RNA", at positions 524 to 776 of the family's 1533-position model. The record is from RNAcentral.